RNAcentral lists this ribosomal RNA (542 nucleotides) under Sphaerulina berberidis. Its description in RNAcentral is "LSU rRNA". It matches the Rfam family "Eukaryotic large subunit ribosomal RNA", at positions 48 to 602 of the family's 3401-position model. Lineage: Eukaryota; Fungi; Ascomycota; Dothideomycetes; Mycosphaerellales; Mycosphaerellaceae. The record is from RNAcentral.
UAGCGGAGGAAAAGAAACCAACAGGGAUUGCCCUAGUAACGGCGAGUGAAGCGGCAACAGCUCAAAUUUGAAAUCUGGCGCAAGCCCGAGUUGUAAUUUGUAGAGGAUGCUUCUGGGUAGCGACCGGUCUAAGUUCCUUGGAACAGGACGUCAUAGAGGGUGAGAAUCCCGUAUGUGACCGGCCCGCACCCUUUACGUAGCUCCUUCGACGAGUCGAGUUGUUUGGGAAUGCAGCUCUAAAUGGGAGGUAAAUUUCUUCUAAAGCUAAAUACCGGCCAGAGACCGAUAGCGCACAAGUAGAGUGAUCGAAAGAUGAAAAGUACUUUGGAAAGAGAGUUAAAAAGCACGUGAAAUUGUUGAAAGGGAAGCGCCUGCAAUCAGACUUCGCGGCAGUGUUCCGCCGGUCUUCUGACCGGUUUAUUCUCUGUCGCGAGGCCAUCAUCGUCUCGGCCCGCUGGAUAAGACCCUUGGGAAUGUAGCUCACCUUCGGGGGAGUGUUAUAGCUUCAUGGUGAUGCAGCGAGGCUGGGGCGAGGUCCGCGC